UACGGAGGGUGCAAGCGUUACUCGGAAUCACUGGGCGUAAAGAGUGCGCAGGCGGGGUGGUAAGUCAGAUGUGAAAUCCUGUAGCUUAACUACAGAACUGCAUUUGAAACUAUCACUCUAGAGUAUGGGAGAGGUAGGUGGAAUUCUUGGUGUAGGGGUAAAAUCCGUAGAGAUCAAGAGGAAUACUCAUUGCGAAGGCGACCUACUGGAACAUUACUGACGCUCAUGCACGAAAGCGUGGGGAGCAAACAGG
Molecule: ribosomal RNA, 253 nt
Filed under: uncultured bacterium
Lineage: Bacteria
Also listed under: 1 other name
Description: partial 16S ribosomal RNA
Rfam family: Bacterial small subunit ribosomal RNA
Source: RNAcentral